UUAGAGGAAGAGGAGCCGGUAUCAGGCUCAAUAUGCCCAUGACACCUAGCCCAGCCACACCCCCAAGGGUACUCAGCAGUGAUCAACAUUGUAAACUAGCGAAAGCUAAAUUCAGUUACCAGCUAAAAAAACCGGUCAAUCUCGUGCCAGCCACCGCGGUUAUACGGGCAGGUUUAAAUUGAUAACGUCGGCUCAAAGCGUGGUUAGAUUCUAACCUCAAUAAAGCAAAAAAAAAGCCCGGCUGUGAUAUGCUUUCGCUUUUAAUAACCCCAAUCACGAAAGUAGCUUUAACCCUAUUGAAUCCACGAUCGCUAGGGCACAAACUGGGAUUAGAUACCCCACUAUGCCUAGCCCUAAACUUUGAUUUAUCCGCCUGGGAACUACGAGCGUCAGCUUAAAACCCAAAAGACUUGGCGGUGCCCUAUACCACCUAGAGGAGCCUGUUCUAUAAUCGAUAAUCCCCGAUUCACCUCACCAUCUCUUGCCAAUACCGCCUGUAUACCUCCGUCGCCAACUGACCCCCUAAGGGCAAAAGUCGGUUAAAUGGCUUUCCUCCAGUAAGUCAGGUCAAGGUGCAGCGAAUGAGAUGGGAAGAAAUGGGCUACAUUUUCUACUAAUAGACUAUACGAAAGAUCACUAUGAAAUCUGAUUGGAAGGUGGAUUUAGCAGUAAAAAGAGACUAGAGCGCUCUUUUUAAGUUGGCUCUAGGGCGCGUACACACCGCCCGUC
RNAcentral lists this ribosomal RNA (729 nucleotides) under Megophrys binglingensis. RNAcentral's name for it is "partial 12S rRNA'". It matches the Rfam family "Bacterial small subunit ribosomal RNA", at positions 218 to 1398 of the family's 1533-position model. The record is from RNAcentral. Lineage: Eukaryota; Metazoa; Chordata; Amphibia; Anura; Megophryidae.